UGGGGAAUAUUGGACAAUGGGGGGAACCCUGAUCCAGCCAUGCCGCGUGUGUGAAGAAGGCCUUAUGGUUGUAAAGCACUUUAAGCGAGGAGGAGGGUACUGGUAUUAAUACUACCAGGUACUGGACGUUACUCGCAGAAUAAGCACCGGCUAACUCUGUGCCAGCAGCCGCGGUAAUACAGAGGGUGCGAGCGUUAAUCGGAUUUACUGGGCGUAAAGCGUGCGUAGGCGGCUAAUUGAGUCGGAUGUGAAAUCCCCGAGCUUAACUUGGGAAUUGCAUUCGAUACUGGUUAGCUAGAGUGUGGGAGAGGAUGGUAGGAUUCCAGGUGUGGCGGUGAAAUGCGUAGAGAUCUGGAGGAAUACCGAUGGCGAAGGCAGCCAUCUGGCCUAACACUGACGCUGAGGUACGAAAGCAUGGGGAGCAAACAGG
This 430-nucleotide ribosomal RNA is filed under the name Pseudomonadota bacterium. RNAcentral describes it as "Proteobacteria bacterium partial 16S ribosomal RNA". It matches the Rfam family "Bacterial small subunit ribosomal RNA", at positions 355 to 776 of the family's 1533-position model. Lineage: Bacteria; Pseudomonadati; Pseudomonadota. The record is from RNAcentral.